This 484-nucleotide ribosomal RNA is filed under the name uncultured bacterium. RNAcentral describes it as "partial 16S ribosomal RNA". It matches the Rfam family "Bacterial small subunit ribosomal RNA", at positions 28 to 507 of the family's 1533-position model. The record is from RNAcentral.
AUUGAACGCUGGCGGCAUGCUUUACACAUGCAAGUCGAACGGCAGCGCGGGCUUCGGCCUGGCGGCGAGUGGCGAACGGGUGAGUAAUGCAUCGGAACGUGCCCAGUAGUGGGGGAUAGCCCGGCGAAAGCCGGAUUAAUACCGCAUACGACCUGAGGGUGAAAGCGGGGGACCGAAAGGCCUCGCGCUAUUGGAGCGGCCGAUGUCGGAUUAGCUAGGUGGUGGGGUAAAGGCUUACCAAGGCGACGAUCCGUAGCUGGUCUGAGAGGACGACCAGCCACACUGGGACUGAGACACGGCCCAGACUCCUACGGGAGGCAGCAGUGGGGAAUUUUGGACAAUGGGGGCAACCCUGAUCCAGCCAUGCCGCGUGCGGGAAGAAGGCCUUCGGGUUGUAAACCGCUUUUGUUCGGGAAGAAAUCCUCUGGGCUAAUACCCCGGGGGGAUGACGGUACCCGAAGAAUAAGCACCGGCUAACUACGUG